UGGAGGAGGCGCCCAGGGCGGCAGGUGCUGGGGCGCUCACCUGGGGGACAGCGGUGACGAAAACGCCAGUGUUUUAGAGGCAAACGAGGGAUCUGGGAUACGACAUUGACAGGGACUAUUCCAGAACUUUGAACAUGAUAUUCACAUUUUUCAAAGUCUGGGAAACUCAAUAAUAGAACUGAAAUUAUGGUUCUUCAGCUAAAUGACGAUCUGCAGAGAAGCAAGGGAAAAGCCUGAAAUUUUGGCAUGGCCAACUCAGAGUGUGGAGUCAACGCAGGCAUCUAAUCUUAAUUGUGAUCUAAAUGUGAGUAUCGUACUUUUCUCAGUGUUUAGAAAAGAUGUUUUAAAUAAUUUAGAGUAAGUAUAUGCUUGCAAUUUUGUAUCCAGAAUUCCAAGCAAAUGCUUCCUGUGGCAUUUUUUUUUUUUUUUUGGAACAGAGUCUUACUCUGUU
This 451-nucleotide long non-coding RNA is filed under the name Homo sapiens (human). RNAcentral describes it as "HSALNT0356236". The record is from RNAcentral. Lineage: Eukaryota; Metazoa; Chordata; Mammalia; Primates; Hominidae.